RNAcentral lists this ribosomal RNA (478 nucleotides) under uncultured eukaryote. RNAcentral's name for it is "bacterial SSU rRNA". It matches the Rfam family "Eukaryotic small subunit ribosomal RNA", at positions 260 to 739 of the family's 1831-position model. The record is from RNAcentral.
AUGACGGAUCGUCGGCCCCGCGCCGGCGACUCGCCGAAUGAGUUUCUGACCUAUCAACUCGAGACGGCGGGGUAGAGGCCCGCCGCGGUAACGACGGGUAACGGGGAAUCAGGGUUCGAUUCCGGAGAGGGAGCCCGAGAAACGGCUACCACUUCCAAGGAAGGCAGCAGGCGCGCAACUUACCCUAAUCUCGAUUCGAGGAGGUAGUGACAAGAAAUACCGAUGCGGGACCCUACGGGUGCCGCGUUCGGAAUGAGUACGAUUCGAACCACCUAACGAGGAACGAUCGGAGGGCAAGUCUGGUGCCAGCAGCCGCGGUAAUUCCAGCUCCAAUAGCGUACGUUAAAGUUGCUGCAGUUAAAAAGCUCGUAGUUGAACGUUCGGGUUCCGCGGGACGGGGCCGCCCCGCGAGGGACGGCGCCGCCCCGGGGCUCGUGAUAUCUCAUCUCGCCGCCCGUCGCCGAGGCGGACGGAGGGA